Thamnophis sirtalis is the source of this 3042-nucleotide non-coding RNA. NCBI's taxonomy places the organism in Eukaryota, Metazoa, Chordata, Lepidosauria, Squamata, Natricidae. The record is from RefSeq and is a predicted model, not a curated record.
AGGCGUCAGGAACAAUUACACAAUUACAGGAGAUGCUGCCCUCAUGGUUGCAAGGUUGCUCUUUUGCUGCUCCAGUAAACACAGGUUUGAGCAACUGAUUUCAUGGUCAAGGCAACGUAUCCCACAUUGCUCUGAUGGAGAAUCGACAGGCCUGCUAGGAAAAGCAAGAGAUGGGCUCUUAAAAAGAUGACCUCGGUGAUGGAAGUAGGUUAGCCAAUUAGCAGUAAUUUUAUCUAGCUGCUCAACAUGUUAAGCUCUAAUCAUUACAAUGAUCAGGUUGGAUUAUUACAUCUUAUCUCUUGAAGACAAUGGGAGGGAAAUUAGUCCAAUUUUCAAACAUUGGUCUCAAGCAUCCUGCCUGAAAUUGAGCACAUUGGUACCAGAAAGAUACAACCAUAAGCACCUCUGUCCUUGCCUGAAAGUAGAUGUUUUCUCAGGAUGAUAUCCAUGCCUUCUAGUAUUCAAUUACUAAAGCAUCACAUAGUAAACACUCUACUCUCCCAUGACCUCCACAUAAUUCAAAUGUCAUUGAUUUUUUGUAGGUAGUUUAUUUGUUCAGCACUAUUGCCUGCCGGGAGAGACGACUUCACAAUUAUUUUACUCAUAUAGACUUUCCCCCCUGCUCACUGGACAUGUCUGCUUGUAGAAGCUCAUUCAUUAGACUGACUUUGUGGGAGGAGGUUUCUUCUGGCAUGCUUGCCUGUUGGGCAUUUCACAGGUGAAGCUUAGGCGUUGAGUGAAUGUGCCACCUUAAAGAAGCAAAUACUUAACAGAGCAAGAGAUCAGUUACGAAAAAUAAUCACAUUUCUUUCAGAUGAAUAGUGCCCAGUAUACAGACCUGCUUUCUCUAUGACCCUGGGUUAAUUUUCCAACCCACGCCCACCUUGUCUGGUCGCUAGAAAGUUUGAGAACAAAAUGUUCUAUGUGCAGAAUACAUAGCUAGCCUUGUGGGCAACUGCAGGCAGACCCCAGUCCAAAUGAAGGGGGAGACUGGGAACUAUGGGAAUGAAAAAGAAAUGUCCCAUUGAGGAAAAUGCUACUGUAUUGGAGGCUUUACCUGAUAGAUCCAUAGCGUUGAAUAAUGGAAAUCAAAAUGCUGAUGAAAAAAUAAUGAAGUAACUAAAUAAAGCCAAAAAUUGGGAAGCAAAAAAACAAACAAACCCCCAAACCCACCCCAUUUUAAACUGGCCACUUGGAAUGUUGAAGCUGGUUUCUAGAUCAGACCUAGUGAAAUGAUCAUUCAUGAAUUAUUUUGGUAUGGAAUUUCAAUUCUGGCAUUAUCAGAAUGGCAUCUUACUGGAUCUGGAAUACAAGACAGUGACAAUGUCUUUGCUAUUAUUGUGGAGACAAGAAACACCCAGAGCAUAUUGGCUUCAUUUCCGUAGCAUCUGAAACUAUUGCAAGCUUUAUCAGCUUCAAGUCAAUUAGUAGAACUGUCACUUUUAGGAACAAUGAGAAUGUGUUUAAUUAUGCUUCCCAGAAGGAGGAAUGAGGCAAAAGAUUUAUUCUAUACAGAGUUGUAAACAACUGUGGAUUCAUUGCACAGAGGUAAUAAAUCCUGAACAUUGGUGACUUUAACGCUCAUGUUGGUAACAACUAGGAAGGCUAGGAAAAUGUCUUGGGCAAAUUUGGUAUUGGAGAGAUAAUUGACAAUGGCCUGUGCCUCUUAUCAUUUAUAGAAGUAAAUGAGCUAAUGAUUGGAAACAUCCAAUCAGCACCAUUUAAAACCUCGGUUAAAAUGGCCUUCACCCAGUAGAAACAAUACAUCAGUACUCAACUAUUUCUAAAUUUCUAAAGCUGUUUCCAAACAUCACUCAUGGACAUCUGGUCAACAAGAGGCAUCUACCACAUUCUACUGCAGUCCUAUUAUUUUGAUUAAUAUAAACUGCUCAUAAUGUAGCCACACCAAUUGUUAUGGAAGAGUGAAAUUACAAGAACUUACUUGCCAACAAGGAUUCCACCUAAUUUGUGUCACCAUUUUUCAUGUGGAUGAUGAAAAUGAUUGAGGUGCAAUUGUCAGAAAUAAUUAACAAGCAUGCCCACAAAAUCUAUCCCAUUGGAAGACACUGAAUCCAACCAUAGAUUUUGGAUGAAUGAAAACUCUGCAAACUCUGCAAACUCUGAAGAUUUAACUCUGUGCUGAUCACUUAAUUAGCAAAUUGACACCUGCUUCAAAACAAAAUGAACUGUCCGUUCAAAUUGUAUUGCAAAAGAACUUGAAGAACUUAUAUAUUGCUGAGAACAUCACAACCUCUGCACUUAUUAUGUUGCCUCAGCAGUAAAUUUCAACAUGAAUGAUGCCAGAAAAGCAGACAGAUUUGCGAGCUCCAGAAUUGAGUGACUGAAUCAUUUAUAUAGUACUUCCAGAUUCUUUACAACUGCCCUGUUCUGAGGCAUUCCAGUAGAGCCACCAAUUCUUGACAGCUCAGAUGGAACAAUUGAAUAAUGCAACUCCAGAAUCUCUGAAGCUACCAUCCAUCAGUUAAAAAGAGGGAAAGCUAGUGACACAGAUAAAGUCACUGCAGAAGCAAUAAACACUGCUUGUGAUACACUAAUCUGUCAGCUCCAUUUAUUCCUUCAAAUUAUGUGAGAGUUUGAGGAAAUACUUCAUUUGUGGAAACAGGCAAUAUUUCCAAUUUUCAAGAAAGGCAAUCAGGAGUACAAGAAUUGAUGUGGGAUUAGUUAGUUGUCGGUCAAGGUAUUUAUCAAAGGCUUCAGAAAAGAUGGAAACAAAUAGCCCAAGAACAGGAGUCUAAUUUCAGGCUUGGAAGAGGAUGCUGUGACCAAAUAUUUGUAUUAUGACAACUGCCUGAUGAAUGCAUCAACUGUGGAAAGAGGCUUUUUUUUUUGCUGUUUAUUGAUUUUGCAGUGGUGUCUAUUCAGGCAGUGUUACAGAAGGCUAAGGUGAGCCUGCUACAGCAGAUACAUGAGGAAUCAUGAAGUUUUGUGUCAAUGGAGAAACAUCCAGAACCUUCCAGCAUGUAAUAGCAAUAGCACUUAGACUUAUAUACUGUUUCAUAGUGCUUUACUGCCCUCUCAAAG